Molecule: ribosomal RNA, 446 nt
Filed under: uncultured bacterium
Lineage: Bacteria
Description: partial 16S ribosomal RNA
Rfam family: Bacterial small subunit ribosomal RNA
Source: RNAcentral
CCUACGGGUGGCAGCAGUCGAGAAUCAUUCACAAUGGGGGAAACCCUGAUGGUGCGACGCCGCGUGGGGGAAUGAAGGUCUUCGGAUUGUAAACCCCUGUCAUGUGGGAGCAAAUUAAAAAGAUAGUACCACAAGAGGAAGAGACGGCUAACUCUGUGCCAGCAGCCGCGGUAAUACAGAGGUCUCAAGCGUUGUUCGGAAUCACUGGGCGUAAGGCGUGCGUAGGCUGUUUCGUAAGUCGUGUGUGAAAGGCGCGGGCUCAACCCGCGGACGGCACAUGAUACUGCGAGACUAGAGUAAUGGAGGGGGAACCGGAAGUCUCGGUGUAGCAGUGAAAUGCGUAGAUAUCGAGAGGAACACUCGUGGCGAAGGCGGGUUCCUGGACAUUAACUGACGCUGAGGCACGAAGGCCAGGGGAGCGAAAGGGAUUAGAUACCCCAGUAGUC